This 443-nucleotide ribosomal RNA is filed under the name Hedylopsis sp. ZSM DNA AB34402008. Its description in RNAcentral is "partial 16S ribosomal RNA". It matches the Rfam family "Archaeal large subunit ribosomal RNA", at positions 1921 to 2670 of the family's 2987-position model. The record is from RNAcentral. Lineage: Eukaryota; Metazoa; Mollusca; Gastropoda; Acochlidiacea; Hedylopsidae.
AGCCUUAAGUUUCGUUUAAGGUGAAUCCUGCCCGGUGAAUUUUUUAACGGCCGCAGUACCCUGACUGUGCAAAGGUAGCGUAAUCAGUUGGCUUUUAAUUGGAGUCGAGAAUGAAGGGAUAAAUGGGGAUUAACUGUCUCUCACUUAAUUAAUUGAAUUUACUAAUAGGGUGAAAAUUCCCUAAAUUUAGAAAAAAGACGAGAAGACCCUUAGAGUUUUUAAAUAUAAAUACUGUUUGUAUUAUCUUUUUUGUUGGGGCGACAAGGGGACAGGUUGAACUUCUCUUUAACUAGAAAUAAUCUGACGAUUUUUUUAAGAAAAAUUAAACUACCUUAGGGAUAACAGCAUAAUGUUUUAUUAAGCUUGUGACCUCGAUGUUGGACUAGGAACUAUAUGACUAGCCGUCAAAAUAGUGUGUUCUGUUCGAACUUUAUCUCCUACAU